This is a non-coding RNA of Pelobates cultripes (western spadefoot toad), 351 nucleotides long. Lineage: Eukaryota; Metazoa; Chordata; Amphibia; Anura; Pelobatidae. The record is from the annotation of a GenBank genome assembly.
UGGGUUCUCUAUCCGCAUGGUAGAAUGGAGAGAUUAAUCUUGGGUGUUGUCAUUUUAUCACAAGCAAGGUCGUAAGCCAGGAGGUCAGUCCAAUAUGAAGGUAACAGUAUAACAGAACUUAGACAUAAGCAUUGUUGGUUUUACUGUGAGCAAGAAAGCAAGUUUAGCAAGCCAAGAAGUCAAUCUGAGAAAUGAGCUACAGUGCAAAGGGAAUAGAACUUUAGGGAAAGUUCCCAUAAGAGCAAUGCCAAGGUCAGGAGCCAGGAAUCAGUUUACUGAGCAAGUUACAAAAGAGGUAUAGGAGCUGACACUGCAAGGGAACAAGUACACACAAGCGCAACAGGUUUGUUG